Molecule: ribosomal RNA, 465 nt
Filed under: Vreelandella stevensii
Lineage: Bacteria; Pseudomonadati; Pseudomonadota; Gammaproteobacteria; Oceanospirillales; Halomonadaceae
Description: partial 16S ribosomal RNA
Rfam family: Bacterial small subunit ribosomal RNA
Source: RNAcentral
CCUACGGGUGGCUGCAGUGGGGAAUAUUGGACAAUGGGGGGAACCCUGAUCCAGCCAUGCCGCGUGUGUGAAGAAGGCCCUCGGGUUGUAAAGCACUUUCAGUGAGGAAGAACGCCUGGUGGUUAAUACCCAUCAGGAAAGACAUCACUCACAGAAGAAGCACCGGCUAACUCCGUGCCAGCAGCCGCGGUAAUACGGAGGGUGCGAGCGUUAAUCGGAAUUACUGGGCGUAAAGCGCGCGUAGGUGGCUUGAUAAGCCGGUUGUGAAAGCCCCGGGCUCAACCUGGGAACGGCAUCCGGAACUGUCAAGCUAGAGUGCAGGAGAGGAAGGUAGAAUUCCCGGUGUAGCGGUGAAAUGCGUAGAGAUCGGGAGGAAUACCAGUGGCGAAGGCGGCCUUCUGGACUGACACUGACACUGAGGUGCGAAGGCGUGGGUAGCAAACAGGAUUAGAUACCCCUGUAGUC